GCCCGGGUGGCAGAGAGGCUAUGCGUCUGACCGCAGAUCGGAGAAGGUGAGUUCAAUUCUCAUCCCGGGCU
Molecule: transfer RNA, 71 nt
Filed under: Methanosphaerula palustris E1-9c
Lineage: Archaea; Methanobacteriati; Methanobacteriota; Methanomicrobia; Methanomicrobiales; Methanoregulaceae
Description: tRNA-Cys (GCA) (tRNA-Cys-GCA-6-1)
Rfam family: tRNA
About the family: Transfer RNA (tRNA) molecules are approximately 80 nucleotides in length.
Source: Rfam by way of RNAcentral